RNAcentral lists this long non-coding RNA (1366 nucleotides) under Anas platyrhynchos platyrhynchos (common mallard). Its description in RNAcentral is "lncRNA (ENSAPLG00000017699.1)". Lineage: Eukaryota; Metazoa; Chordata; Aves; Anseriformes; Anatidae. The record is from RNAcentral.
AUGUUCUGGAGGUGCUGGGCAGUGUGCACUGUGUCCAGGAGGUGUCUGUGCUCAGUGGCUGUGCCUGAUCCUAGCACCAAGGGACUGCGAUCUGUCCCGUGCUUUCUGCCUCCUCUUGCUGUGUGCUCCUGCCUGCUUCCCAGGCACAGCACCAAUCCUUGUGCCUCGUCUGAGACUUGUACACCUCGUGAAAUUCCCAGCCCUGUGAGCAUGAGCCAUCACAUCUGUGUGGAGAAAGAGGGCGGGUUGCAAGACGUGAUGAACCAAGCUAUUGAUCCUGGUUUCUCUUCUGGCCUGAGAAGAGACAGACGUACUCCUGCUGGAAAGAGACACGGACAUCUACCAGCACAUGGAGACCCCCCGGUGGAGGACACGGAUCAGCUGCAAGGCUCCAGUUAUCAGUAACUUCAGGUUGCUACUAAUACACCUGGGGUGGCAGCAAGCCAUAUUACGGCUACAUGUGACACCACAUGAAUUUUAAGCAGGUUAAGUUAAUUGCAACAUUCAGAAGUAACUCGGAUUCAAUGAUGCCAUUAAAAAACAGGGAGACCCGUGAGGGCAGCACCCCAGGGGGUGCUGCCAGGCCUCCUCCAGCCCCUCUUCCUCCCAGUUCCCAUCUCAUGGAGGCAAAGAGCUUCGCUCCCCAAAGCCAAAAAUGCAGCUUUGGGUGCUCAGAGCCCAGAGCUGCUGCCUAAUUAAAGGUUUCUGGUAUUUGUGCAUGGUAUUUGGAGAGCAGCAAACCACCACUGCGGCUGUGCAAGCAGUAGAAAGGAUGAAAAUCGAAGAGCGGAGAAAAAAAUGAGUAUUUUAAUGUGUGCACAGGAGCCUGUGCACAGGGAGUCAGGCUUUGAAGUGCCUUGUCACCGAGCUCUUGUGACUUUAAAGCUUGUUUAUAUUUUGUUUGCCACUCGCGGAGCUACAGCAAAACGGUUUGAGCUGGGAAGGGGGAAGGCAUCUGAACACCCUGUGCACAGGACCCUGGAUGUGCAGAUGUGAGGGUGCUGUAACGGGGAGUUUAAAGAGCUGUCUGUCAGGCCGUCCUGUGGGCUGCCUUUCCCCCAUUCAUACAGAAACCAGAAUUGAACCCCCUGAAGCUAGUGUGUAUUGCAAAACCUAUUUUUCAUGUUUCUGGAUCCAAUUUACUUUGAUAAAAUGCACAAGAUACCUGUCAAACCGUUGCCUCUGUUUUUUUACACUCACUUGUCACUUGCUAACAGGCAUUUACAUGGGGAAGUGUAUUGAUGAGAUAAAUGGCAUGGCAGCACCCAACCCCUUCCCUUGUUUUAUUUAGGGAACUGUUAAAAGUUUCCUUUCUAUUUAAAAAAAAAAAAAAAAAGGCAAUAAAAACCAAUCAAACAAAAACCCA